ACAGUAGGGAAUAUUGGUCAAUGGACGCAAGUCUGAACCAGCCAUGCCGCGUGAAGGAUGAAGGCCCUCUGGGUCGUAAACUUCUUUUAUUAGGGAAGAAACCUCAGGAUGCGUCCUGAGCUGACGGUACUUAAUGAAUAAGGAUCGGCUAACUUCGUGCCAGCAGCCGCGGUAAGACGAAGGAUCCAAGCGUUGUCCGGAUUUACUGGGUUUAAAGGGUGCGUAGGCGGAAAAUUAAGUCAGUGGUGAAAGCCCGCAGCUCAACUGUGGAACUGCCAUUGAAACUGGUUUUCUUGAAUAUAGCUGAGGCAGAUGGAAUAUAACAUGUAGCGGUGAAAUGCUUAGAUAUGUUAUAGAACACCGAUUGCGAAGGCAGUCUGCUAAACUAUUAUUGACGCUGAGGCACGAAAGCGUGGGGAGCGAACAGGAUUAGAUACCCUGGUAGUCCACGCCCUAAACGUUGAUUACUCGCUGUUGGCGAUAUACUGUCAGUGGCUAAGCGAAAGCAUUAAGU
Molecule: ribosomal RNA, 514 nt
Filed under: uncultured bacterium
Lineage: Bacteria
Description: bacterial SSU rRNA
Rfam family: Bacterial small subunit ribosomal RNA
Source: RNAcentral